UUAAUCCAGGAUGGGAUCAUGAGUUCACAUGUCCGCAUGAUUAAAGGUAUUUUCCGGUAGACGAUGGGGAUGCGUUCCAUUAGAUAGUAGGCGGGGUAACGGCCCACCUAGUCAACGAUGGAUAGGGGUUCUGAGAGGAAGGUCCCCCACAUUGGAACUGAGACACGGUCCAAACUCCUACGGGAGGCAGCAGUGAGGAAUAUUGGUCAAUGGGCGAUGGCCUGAACCAGCCAAGUAGCGUGAAGGAUGACUGCCCUAUGGGUUGUAAACUUCUUUUAUAAAGGAAUAAAGUCGGGUAUGCAUACCCGUUUGCAUGUACUUUAUGAAUAAGGAUCGGCUAACUCCGUGCCAGCAGCCGCGGUGAUACGGAGGAUCCGAGCGUUAUCCGGAUUUAUUGGGUUUAAAGGGAGCGUAGAUGGAUGUUUAAGUCAGUUGUGAAAGUUUGCGGCUCAACCGUAAAAUUGCAGUUGAUACUGGAUGUCUUGAGUGCAGUUGAGGCAGGCGGAAUCCGUGGUGUAGCGGUGAAUGCUUAGAUAUCACGAAGACUCCGAUUGCGAAGGCAGCUCACUGGAGUGU
RNAcentral lists this ribosomal RNA (576 nucleotides) under uncultured Bacteroidales bacterium. RNAcentral's name for it is "bacterial SSU rRNA". It matches the Rfam family "Bacterial small subunit ribosomal RNA", at positions 163 to 737 of the family's 1533-position model. Lineage: Bacteria; Pseudomonadati; Bacteroidota; Bacteroidia; Bacteroidales. The record is from RNAcentral.